RNAcentral lists this ribosomal RNA (481 nucleotides) under uncultured bacterium. RNAcentral describes it as "partial 16S ribosomal RNA". It matches the Rfam family "Bacterial small subunit ribosomal RNA", at positions 28 to 507 of the family's 1533-position model. The record is from RNAcentral.
GAUGAACGCUGGCGGCGUGCUUAACACAUGCAAGUCGAACGAAGCACUUUAUUUGAUUUCCUUCGGGACUGAUUAUUUUGUGACUGAGUGGCGGACGGGUGAGUAACGCGUGGGUAACCUGCCUUGUACAGGGGGAUAACAGUUGGAAACGGCUGCUAAUACCGCAUAAGCGCACGGCAUCGCAUGCUGCAGUGUGAAAAACUCCGGUGGUAUAAGAUGGACCCGCGUUGGAUUAGCUAGUUGGUGAGGUAACGGCCCACCAAGGCGACGAUCCAUAGCCGACCUGAGAGGGUGACCGGCCACAUUGGGACUGAGACACGGCCCAAACUCCUACGGGAGGCAGCAGUGGGGAAUAUUGCACAAUGGGCGAAAGCCUGAUGCAGCGACGCCGCGUGAGCGAAGAAGUAUUUCGGUAUGUAAAGCUCUAUCAGCAGGGAAGAUAAUGACGGUACCUGACGAAGAAGCACCGGCUAAAUACGUG